GAAUUUUAUAUUUUAUGAAAAUUUAAGAUUUUUUUAUAGAAUAUUUUAUUGGGAGGAUAUUUAAAUUUAAUAAACUUUAAAAAUAAAAUUACAUUAGUUUAUGAUUUUUUUGUUGAAGGAGAAUAUUUAAUUAAGAAUUAAUUACCUUAGGGAUAACAGCAUAAUAUACUUUUGUAGUUCAUAUAUAAAAGAAUGGUUAU
Molecule: ribosomal RNA, 200 nt
Filed under: Hypoponera sp. IT14.02
Lineage: Eukaryota; Metazoa; Arthropoda; Insecta; Hymenoptera; Formicidae
Description: partial large subunit ribosomal RNA
Source: RNAcentral